This 390-nucleotide ribosomal RNA is filed under the name Eukaryota sp. RNAcentral's name for it is "SSU rRNA". It matches the Rfam family "Eukaryotic small subunit ribosomal RNA", at positions 827 to 1218 of the family's 1831-position model. The record is from RNAcentral.
CCCUUGCGUUCUAUCCGUUGGUACAGAGCCGGGGUAAUGAUUAAUAGGGAUAGUUGGGGGCAUUAGUAUUUCAUUGUCAGAGGUGAAAUUCUUGGAUUUAUGGAGGACUAACUUCUGCGAAAGCAUUUGCCAAGGAUGUUUUCAUUAAUCAAGAACGAAAGUUGUAGGAGCCACAGCGAUCAGACACCGCUUUAGUUGCAACCAUAAACGAUGCCGUCUAGGGAUUGGAGGCAGUACCUAGAAUGACUCCUUCAGCACCUUAUGAGAAAUCAAAGACUUUGGGUUCCGGGGGGAGUAUGGUCGCAAGGCUGAAACUUAAAGGAAUUGACGGAAGGGCACCACCAGGAGUGGAGGCUGCGGCUUAAUUUGACUCAACACGGGGAAACUCAC